Molecule: long non-coding RNA, 801 nt
Filed under: Lupinus mutabilis
Lineage: Eukaryota; Viridiplantae; Streptophyta; Magnoliopsida; Fabales; Fabaceae
Description: partial ncRNA
Source: RNAcentral
UUUAAAUAUAGUGGUUUUAACUUAAUCACUUUGGUUCUAUUUCUACAAAUCUAUAAGAUCUGUGUUUAUCAAAACUCCAACCAUUUUAGCUGAAAUGGACCAUAUGAGAAAAAGUAGACUUCCUUGGAGCUUAAAAGUUGGUUUGAUAGUGGUGGUGGCAUUGUUUGGCAGAGUGAAACCCCAAGACAAAGUUGAAGCACUUCCAAGUUCAAGUUCAAGUGGUUUACUAUGCAUAAGUGAAUGUGUCACAUGUCCAACAAUAUGUUCACCACCACCAUCACCACCAUCACCACCACCACCUUCAGUUGUAACAUCAUAUUCAAAUCGUCCUCCUCCUCCACUUCUAACUCCAUACCCUCCACCUCCACCACUUCUAACAUCAUAUCCUCCACCACCAUCAUCACCAAGGGUACCUCAUUCACCAUCUCAAUAUUUUCCACCACCUCAUAAGGCAUUGCUGCCACCUCCAGCACUAUUGCUUCCACCACCACCACCACCUUUGAAGUCCUACAACUCACAACCAUCAUCAUCAUCAUCAAGUUCAGGUUCAGGACAGCCUAAUGUAAUUGGUGGACCCCAUCAGUAUCCUUAUCCUUAUUACUAUUACUAUGCCUCAGGCUCAUGUUCUAUUUCUAUUCAUCUUAUACCCUUCUUCCUCUUACCCUUCUUCCUUCUUCAACUAUUACUAUAACAACAUGCUAUAUAUAUAUAUAUAUAUUACUAUAACAACAGAGAUCCUUGUUUGUUUAUAUCAGAGAUAUUCAUAAAACCAAAAUUAAUAAACCCCUUGUGUAAAUAAUA